CCAUUAGAGUUACUUGCUUGACAUGUGAGUAGACCUCCAUGCAAGUACUCUCGUUCGAUUGUGUUCAAUGAACUCAUUCCCUUAAUGAGCACCUACAUACUUGUCUUAGUGUCACAACACGAAUGGGAUGAGACUUUCCAUCCUUCCAUUUGAAGCAGACACAGUAUGUACCGGUCUAAGCAUUGUCAGUAUCCCUCCGACAAUCCAAUGACCAUGAACCUUUUUGGACAUUUGGUUAUGUGAAGAAGGUCUCUGUAGUCUAACAUCAUUAGAUUACUUCUUCAAUCGAUCCAUUGUCCAUGGAUACACUAUUUAGGACAUAUAUCGUUUAUUGAGAUAGUCCUAAUUAGUAUCUUUGCCAUUUGAUGUAUAAGAUUCAUCUAUACAUCGAUUUAUUUGUCCUGAAAGGUUUCUUCCAAAGAUUGACUUUCAGGGCAUAUUUCCAACAAUCUCCCACUUGCACUAAAGUCAAUCACUAGUGUAUCUUAUACAUCUUGUUGAGAGAGCUUUAUGCUCGUAGAUUAACUUGGUUAUGUAUUAAUCCCUUUUAUUAUUUAAAGGGAUUUUCUUAUCAAAUGUUUCCAAAACAUUUGAUGAUGUCUCUUUAUUGUGUUCGAAUACUUUGAUGAGACCUUGAUUCCAUGGCUUGAGCUAUCGCCCCAUUACGUCGUAGUAUCCUACUAACGACCUUAUGGUUUGGAUUCAAUCAUUGGUUCUAUAAGAACCCCUUCAUUCAAAACACCUUUUUGAAGCAGUUUCUAAUAUCGUCAUUUAUUUCGUUUGUAUACUUUAUACAAACUUUGCUCCAACCUUGAGACCAUUGUAGUACAAUACUAACAAUUCAUUCAUAUGAUUAGUACUUCAUCCAUUAUGAAGUUCCAUUUGUUAAAAUGUCUUAUUUUUCACUUUGGUUAAUAACCUAAGUGAAUGCACGCUUCCAGAGUCCCACUCUGAUGUUUCUUUCUUAAAGGCAAUAAUACUCCAUCAGUUGCUUUGGUUCUGAUCCUGGGAUAUAGUAAUAUCUUAAAGUGACAACCAUGUGGUUCUUCACCUUUGGAUAUCUACUUCACAAGUCUAUACAUGUGUCUCUUUUGUGAUUUUGUGACAUAUUCAUUAUAAGGGUUAUGAAAGUGAUUUUCUAUCACAUAGGAAAAAGCUUUCUUAAAUCUACAACAUUUGAGAUUUAAUUCCCAUAUAACAUCAUUGAGAUAGCCUUGCUAUAUCAAUAAGUCCAAUUUCAAGUCUAUACUUCAAAAUUGACCAUGUCAUGUUUUGUCAUUUUUCGAGUAACAUUUAUGUUUUAUCAAGUCUAUCAAAUAGACUUUAUUCACAUCAUGUUGCUCAAAUUAUAACAUCACUCCCACUGGCCUUGUUGUAACUUAGCAUUCAUUCAAAAAUAACAAUUAUAUUUUCUUGAUUUGAAUGCAUAUUGCUCCCACUUAACUUAAACGAAUCAUACACAAAAGAAUUCCUUCUCAAGUAAUUCCAUGAAAUGUGUGACUUGCUUUAUCAAGUCUAUUCAUUUAAAUUAUAUGGUGUCAUACAUCAUACUUUAAGUUUUAGUCAUACUAAGACCUUUAAUGUAGUCAUAUAAGAAUUAUCCAAGUCUUUAGUGGAAGCAUGGCUCCUACUAAGGAUAACAACUCAACCAUUCCUUCUAGGUGGUUGAUAUAAUUCUUUAUCAAAACUACAUAGAGCAUAUAUUGUUACAUGAGAUGUUGAAUUUGGAUUGUCUUGUUGUUAAACCAUAUGUUGUGACUCAUUUUGAAACUAUUCCCUUUUGUUUCAUCAACUUGUCCAUAUGCUUAGUUAUUUAGCUUGUUCUCUUAAAAGAGAAUGAAGGACAACUCCCAACAUAUAACCAUUUUAUGCUAGGUUGACGAAACCAACAUUCAAAGACUAUUCUUUAGAAUGUCACACAACAUAGAAUUUUAACGUUUGAAGAGCUUGAGUCCUUUAACAAUUAAAAUUACAAACUCUUAAUAAUAGUCAAGUACUAUUAUCCUUUAGACAACUAUAAACCAAUCAUAUUCAAGUUUAUAUCCAUUUUCACACCUCCCACUAUUUCUCAUGACUUUAAUGAGAAAUCAUUUCAUACAUUCAAAAUGUAUAAAAGUGGAUUAUAUUGGUAGAAGACAUUGUGUAGUAGCUUAAAAAACCUUUCAAGCUCAUUUGUUUCAAUCUUCACUAAGUUAAUGUCUUGUUAUUAAGUGACUAAAGUCUUUAAACAUUUUAUAGAUUUAG
Molecule: long non-coding RNA, 2244 nt
Filed under: Malus domestica (apple)
Lineage: Eukaryota; Viridiplantae; Streptophyta; Magnoliopsida; Rosales; Rosaceae
Description: long non-coding RNA (MDOM_LNC015588)
Source: RNAcentral